UUCACGUUCAGCAUGCAGAUUCAUUUUCUGCCACCGAAUACAUUAGCAUGGGAUAAUGGAAUAGGACCCUGUCCUCCUAUUUUCAGUUGGUUUUGGCAGCGCGAGGACUAGGGUAAUGAUUAAUAGGGAUAGUUGGGGGCAUUAAUAUUUAAUUGUCAGAGGUGAAAUUCUUGGAUUUAUGAAAGAUUAACUUCUGCGAAAGCAUCUGCCAAGGAUGUUUUCAUUAAUCAAGAACGAAAGUUAGGGGAUCGAAGACGAUCAGAUACCGUCGUAGUCUUAACCAUAAACGAUGCCGACCAGCGAUUAGGAGACGUUGAAUACAAAACACCACCAUCGGCGCGGUCGCCCUUGGCGUUCGUGUUCACGCACGGGCGCGAGGGCGGCUUAGCCCGAUGGCACCGGUGAAUGACUCCCCUAGCGCCUUGUGAGAAAAUAAAAAAAAAAAAAAGAAGCGAAAC
Molecule: ribosomal RNA, 458 nt
Filed under: uncultured amoeba
Lineage: Eukaryota
Description: partial small subunit ribosomal RNA
Rfam family: Eukaryotic small subunit ribosomal RNA (bases 1-363)
Source: RNAcentral